AUAUAAUGGAAAAAGUCAAUGCUCUCGGUGAGCGAUUGAAAAUCGGGGGGUCAGAGGUUGGUCAGAAGAUUAGUGCAGGAGUGAGUUCGGUUAGUUUUAAGAUGAAGGAGUUUUUCCAAGGACCGAGUCAGGUUGACAAGAUUGUGGAGGAGGCGACUGCGGAUACGUUGGAUGAACCUGACUGGUCGACGAAUCUCGAGCUUUGUGAUAUGAUAAAUCAUGAUAGGAUUAAUAGUAUUGAACUGAUUAGGGCGGUUAAGAAACGGAUUGUGUUGAAGAUCCCUAGGGUUCAGUACUUGUCUUUGGUUUUGCUUGAGACUAUUGCUAAGAAUUGCGAGAAGGCGUUUUCGGAAAUUGCGGCGGAGAGGGUGCUUGAUGAGAUGGUGAAGAUGAUUGAUGACCCUCAGACUGUUAUUAAUAACCGAAACAAGGCUCUGAUGAUGAUUGAAGCGUGGGGAGAGUCUUCGGAUGAGCUUCGUUAUCUGCCUGUUUAUGAAGAGACUUACAAGGUAUACUACAUCGAAUUGUCUUAAGUAUGGUUUAAGGUUUUGUGAGUAUGUAAAUUGAAACGGAGGGAGUAAUAAACUAAAUAUGAUGAUGUGAAAAAAAUACUCCUCGUAUCAUGUAUUAACGCUAUAUUAUAUAUUUCCUCCGUCCCAUCAGUUCUUGUGUUAUUUUUAACACGCAUUUUAAGGUUCUUAUAAAGUAUACUUACAUUAUAUUAUUUUUUUUAAGAAAUUGAAAAAAGUUUGAAAUUUAAACUUUUAUUUAAAAAAAGAAAAAAUUAAAAAUACAUUAUAAAAUUAUAUUUUACGAGAGCCACGAAAUGUGUGCAAACAGUACAUAAACUUCUAGGCGUGACAGAGGGAGUAGUGUUUUUGAUAUUACUUAUAAAUGCUAUUUCAUGUAACGUUUUGUUGAAAUUUCAAAAAAAAAAUUAUCAUAUCAUGUAACAUUCAGUUGAAAUUAUGUUAAUAGUUUAUUUUUAUCAAAAUAGUAAAAAAAGAAUAAAAUAUGUGAUGAUUUAAAAAAAUAAAUAUGAAUAAAGUUUUUUAAUAAGUAUAAAUAAAUAACCAAGUACCCAAUAAAACACACAAAAGCAUUAAAAGAUGCAUAAACAGGCUACACACACGCAACUUAGCAAAAAAUCCAAUAUUAUAAUUUAUUUAUUUUUUCGAAACAUCCAAUAUUAUAAUGUAUAAAAAUUCAUAGAUAAGGCCAAAUAUCAAAUAAACAAAAAAAUUAAUAUUCCGACCACCUGGAGUCAAACAGAGAGACCUGGUCCGGUCCAUGAAUUAAUUUAAUGCAAUAACGUAAACCAGACUGCAUUUUGAAGCAAAGAAACUUCCAAAGUCUCCCAACUUACACAUUAGUCUUCUUUCUUCAAAUCAACGCGUUUCGCUUCUAUAAUUCCUUGCAAUUUUCAGGUACUCAUUCCUCUAUUUCUCAAAAUUUUAAUUUAAUCUCGCUUUGAUCUGAACAUCUGUCAGUUUAUUAUAUCUCUUGAGCCACCGACUUCUCGUAAAUAAAUUUAUGAUUCAAAUUUUUGGUACUGUUUUAUAAAAAAAAUACGAACUGUGUGUAGUGUGUAUUUAUAUGAUUCGUAUUUGAUCUGUUAGUUUUGAUAUCCGUAAGUUAGUUAGGGUUUUGUGUUUCUGUGUGAUUUUCAUUUGUUUACAUUUUUGUGUUUGCCAGUAAGCUAAUUAGGCCUGUUUAGGUUUUGUAGAGGUGUAAUUGGAGAAGCGAGUUUCGAGAAUGAGUGAUAAUAUAAUGGAAAAAGUCAAUGCUCUCGGUGAGCGAUUGAAAAUCGGGGGGUCAGAGGUUGGUCAGAAGAUUAGUGCAGGAGUGAGUUCGGUUAGUUUUAAGAUGAAGGAGUUUUUCCAAGGACCGAGUCAGGUUGACAAGAUUGUGGAGGAGGCGACUGCGGAUACGUUGGAUGAACCUGACUGGUCGACGAAUCUCGAGCUUUGUGAUAUGAUAAAUCAUGAUAGGAUUAAUAGUAUUGAACUGAUUAGGGCGGUUAAGAAACGGAUUGUGUUGAAGAUCCCUAGGGUUCAGUACUUGUCUUUGGUUUUGCUUGAGACUAUUGCUAAGAAUUGCGAGAAGGCGUUUUCGGAAAUUGCGGCGGAGAG
RNAcentral lists this long non-coding RNA (2132 nucleotides) under Daucus carota (carrot). Its description in RNAcentral is "long non-coding RNA (DCAR_LNC004559)". The record is from RNAcentral. Lineage: Eukaryota; Viridiplantae; Streptophyta; Magnoliopsida; Apiales; Apiaceae.